CCCUUAGAUGUUCUGGGCCGCACGCGCGCUACACUGAAGGAAUCAGCGUGGCUUUCUCCCUGACCCGAAAGGGUUGGGAAACCCGUUGAAUCUCCUUCGUGAUAGGGAUUGGGGCUUGAAAUUGUUCCCCAUGAACGAGGAAUUCCCAGUAAGCGCGAGUCAUAAGCUCGCGUUGAUUACGUCCCUGCCCUUUGUACACACCGCCCGUCGCUACUACCGAUUGAACGGUUUAGUGAGGGCCUCGGAUUGGUCUCGGCCCGCUCUUUACCGGGCGGCGCCGUUGGUCGAGAAGACGCUCGAACUUGAUCGUUUAGAGGAAGUAAAAGUCGUAACA
RNAcentral lists this ribosomal RNA (334 nucleotides) under uncultured eukaryote. Its description in RNAcentral is "partial 18S ribosomal RNA". It matches the Rfam family "Eukaryotic small subunit ribosomal RNA", at positions 1470 to 1796 of the family's 1831-position model. The record is from RNAcentral.